Molecule: long non-coding RNA, 285 nt
Filed under: Centruroides sculpturatus (bark scorpion)
Lineage: Eukaryota; Metazoa; Arthropoda; Arachnida; Scorpiones; Buthidae
Description: uncharacterized LOC111637887, transcript variant X1
Source: RNAcentral
AAUCAUUUCAGACUCCAAACCCUUUAUGAAAAACUUUUGCAGCAAUGACGCUUAGAGUAGUACUUUUCAUCUGUUUGAUUCUAAGUCUUCAAGAAUAUCAAGAAGUAAAUGGUGGAGAUGUAAUACAUUCCACUAAUAAAUGGAAACCUAGAUGUUUGAAGACAUAUGAACCAUGCAAGCGUCCUAGAAGAAAGUGUUGCGAAGGUUACAAAUGUAAAUGCAAGAAAGACCAACCUUGUAGAUGUAAAAAAGUCUGAGUUAAUGAAAAAAUCUCCAUUUUAAAAA